GCUGCUGACAUUCAUCUUCAUGCUGCUAAGAAGAGAACAGCGACCGACGUCGGAUCAUCUGGAAUGAUGAAGAAGAGUCGGGUUGAUCCGGAGUCAGAACCGACGAGGAAGUCCGACAUUCCAUCAGUGAUGGCUCCCAGCAUUGAGUCAGUUAUAGCAUUGUCAGCUCAGACAAUGCUUCCUUCUAUCGAAGUACCAUCGAUCAGAGUUAAGAGGGCG
This 219-nucleotide long non-coding RNA is filed under the name Elaeis guineensis (African oil palm). RNAcentral describes it as "long non-coding RNA (EGUI_LNC014388)". The record is from RNAcentral. Lineage: Eukaryota; Viridiplantae; Streptophyta; Magnoliopsida; Arecales; Arecaceae.